AGAGUUUGAUUAUGGCUCAGGAUGAACGCUAGCUACAGGCUUAACACAUGCAAGUCGCGGGGCAGCAUGAAGGAUGCUUGCAUUCUUUGAUGGCGACCGGCGCACGGGUGAGUAACGCGUAUCCAACCUGCCUGUUACCACGGCACAGCCCGUCGAAAGGCGGAUUAAUGCCGUAUGUGGUCCUUUGCGGGCAUCUAAUUAGGACUAAAGGUUUAGCGGUAACGGAUGGGGAUGCGUCCGAUUAGCUUGACGGCGGGGUAACGGCCCACCGUGGCGACGAUCGGUAGGGGUUCUGAGAGGAAGGUCCCCCACACUGGAACUGAGACACGGUCCAG
RNAcentral lists this ribosomal RNA (335 nucleotides) under uncultured bacterium. RNAcentral describes it as "bacterial SSU rRNA". It matches the Rfam family "Bacterial small subunit ribosomal RNA", at positions 8 to 334 of the family's 1533-position model. The record is from RNAcentral.